GAUGAACGCUGGCGGCGUGCCUAAUACAUGCAAGUCGAGCGAAUGGAUUAAGAGCUUGCUCUUAUGAAGUUAGCGGCGGACGGGUGAGUAACACGUGGGUAACCUGCCCAUAAGACUGGGAUAACUCCGGGAAACCGGGGCUAAUACCGGAUAACAUUUUGAACCGCAUGGUUCGAAAUUGAAAGGCGGCUUCGGCUGUCACUUAUGGAUGGACCCGCGUCGCAUUAGCUAGUUGGUGAGGUAACGGCUCACCAAGGCAACGAUGCGUAGCCGACCUGGGAGGGUGUUCGGACACACUGGGACUGAGACACGGCCCAGACUCCUACGGGAGGCAGCGGUAGGGAAUCUUCCGCAAUGGACGAAAGUCUGACGGAGCAACGCCGCGUGAGUGAUGAAGGCUUUCGGGUCGUAAAACUCUGUUGUUAGGGAAGAACAAGUGCUAGUUGAAUAAGCUGGCACCUUGACGGUACCUAACCAGAAAGCCACGGCUAACUACGUGCCAGCCGCCGCCGUAA
Molecule: ribosomal RNA, 515 nt
Filed under: uncultured bacterium
Lineage: Bacteria
Description: partial 16S ribosomal RNA
Rfam family: Bacterial small subunit ribosomal RNA
Source: RNAcentral